RNAcentral lists this ribosomal RNA (253 nucleotides) under uncultured bacterium. RNAcentral describes it as "partial 16S ribosomal RNA". It matches the Rfam family "Bacterial small subunit ribosomal RNA", at positions 524 to 776 of the family's 1533-position model. The record is from RNAcentral.
UACGGGGGGGGCAAGCGUUGUUCGGAAUUACUGGGCGUAAAGGGCUCGUAGGCGGCCAACUAAGUCCGACGUGAAAUCCCCAGGCUUAACCUGGGAACUGCGUCGGAUACUGGAUGGCUUGAAUUCGGGAGAGGGAUGCGGAAUUCCAGGUGUAGCGGUGAAAUGCGUAGAUAUCUGGAGGAAUACCGGUGGCGAAGGCGGCAUCCUGGACCGACAUUGACGCUGAUGAGCGAAAGCUAGGGGAGCAAACGGG